AGGAGGGGGGGGGGGGGGGGGGGGGGGGGGGGGGGGGUGUUGAAGGGGCAUGUGAAUAUUCUUUUACACCUGACCUGUUUCUAAGACAUCUUAUUUAUUUCCUAUGGCAAAGUGCAAGCAAAUAAUAUAUAUCUGUAUAUACAUUGUUCUGUCUUGGGACCAUUUGAUUAAAAGAGCAAGGGGGAGGGUUAGAAUGGUCAAAAUAUUUAAGUCCUUGUCAGCUUAGGACAGAAUUUUAAUUUUCAAGCUAUUAACCAGGGUACAAUAUAUAUUUAUUUUCUGCUUAAAAAAUCAAUUUAUAUACCAGAAUCAUGAUAAUAAUCAAAAUCUAUUUCAACAUAUUCAACGUUUAGCAGGUCAGGUUUUUAUUCUCUUCCCCUAAGUUAUAUUUUCAGUUCUUACUGGAAGUUGUUCAGCUCUUUGUCUACUAAAAAAACUUUUAUCUCGUGGAAAAGCCUCCUACAAAUACAUGUUUUACAUACAACAUACUGUACAUGUAACACUAGACAACUUUAUCCAGAGAAUAAUAUUUUUUUAAUGAACUAAUAGGCCAUGGAGACUAAAAAAAUCAAAAGCAUUGCAAACUUUUGUAAAGUUCAAUUUUAGGACCCUACAUGUACAUGUAUGUAGAUUACUUAUAGAGCCCUUUUUAAAAGAAAAAACAUACAUUUAAACUACAUGCACAGUGAUGCUACACUACCCUACAUUUCCUGUCUGAUAUAUUUUAUUUCAUGUAAAACAAAAUUGAAGAAUUAUUUUAUAGUUUAACACUUUUUAUUUGUAGGGCUAUAUAUAUGCAAGCAAUGCUCAAUUAAGAUGAAUUUUUGUAAAAGUGACAAUAGCCAGGUCAAACUAAAUACAUGUAUAGAAGAAGAUAUUGAUCUAGACUCGCAGCUAACCUUUCUGUCAGUGUCAACAACAACUGAACUUUCACAGCAGUCAACAUCAGAUUGGGAGACUGAUAAUGCUUCUAACAGAAACAAUUUCAACCAACCAAACAAGCAACAGAAACUUUCUAACUUUAAAACAUCAGUUAAAUCUUCCAUGGGAUUAUGUCUCAAAAAAUAACAGUUCAUCAUUUAUGGAGAUUUUAAUGUUGUGGUUUUUCUUUUACAAGAAAGUUAAUGUACACUUAUUUUAUAGUAAAACCUAUAGCCGUUCAAGUAUAAAAAAACACAUUCAACUUUAUUGAAAUUUGAAGAUUCAUAUGACUUAUUUUAAUUCUGUUAUCUCCGAGGAUGCGAUGUAGAGCAUUAUAGGUACAGUAAUCUUAACAGCUAUCCAAUUUCAUUCAAAAUUCUUUAUAAAUUUUGCACUGGUAUAUAUAGACUAAGUAAUUUGUUUUUCGUCUAGUUGUGGGAUUUUUUUUUAGAAGCAUUUAUGAUUUUCAUGUUUGUAUUGACCACAUUGCAGCAACAUAGAUAUAGGUACCUGGCAAAUCUUGCCUUGUUAGCAUACUAGUCUCAAAGGGUCAUAAAAAAAUUUCCAUCACUAAGUGUCUGUUAAAAUCAUCUGUUUACAGUUUUCACUUUUAAACCAUCAUCUUAAUAACUUUAGAAGAAGUGUCAUACAUAUAUAUAUGUAUACAAAAUUUAAAAACUUUUCAAUAUAUAUAUAUUGAUAAAAACUAUCAACAUGACAAGAUCUAAAUACCCAAAAUUUUUCUGAAAAAUUGGACAUAACAUCUAUGAGCUAUUGUCCCUGAAAUGUGUAAAUUUACAAAUUUUCACAGUUUUCUGCUACUAUCCGACAACUAUAUCAAUAUAUUAUAAGAAUAAAUUGCAAAAGUGGUCAGUAGAAACUUUUUUUUUACAGUCUGAACUUAUUCUGAAUUGUUUAACUUCUAAUUUAAAUUGAUUGCGUUUGAAAUAUGUGUUUUUUAUUGUUUUAGGUGCACAAUUUGUCAAUAUGAUCUAUUUUGGCUCCUGGGAGCCUCUAGAUUUAUAAUGAAUAAUUUGUAUUUAUGUAUGAUUAUUUUCUUAAUGUAUUAAAUGAAACAUUAAUUAUUCUU
Molecule: long non-coding RNA, 2011 nt
Organism: Mytilus californianus (California mussel)
Lineage: Eukaryota; Metazoa; Mollusca; Bivalvia; Mytilida; Mytilidae
Exons: 2
Source: RefSeq, a predicted model, not a curated record